GUCCAGCCAACGAGUCCCAAAUAGAGCGAAACACGCGUCCUGGAU
Non-coding RNA from Schistosoma curassoni, 45 nucleotides. The record is from Rfam. Lineage: Eukaryota; Metazoa; Platyhelminthes; Trematoda; Strigeidida; Schistosomatidae.